CCGGGUGGACAGGGAGGACAGGUGGGUGGCGAUGGUUGUCGUCAGCUCGUGUCGUGAGAUGUUGGGUUAAGUCCCGCAACGAGCGCAACCCCUAUUGUUAGUUGCCAUCAUUCAGUUGGGCACUCUAGCGAGACUGCCGGUAAUAAACCGGAGGAAGGUGGGGAUGACGUCAAAUCAUCAUGCCCCUUAUGGCCUGGGCUACAAACGUAAUACAAUGGCGUAUACAAAGGGAUGCGAAAGGGCGACCUGGAGCAAAACUCACAAAGUACGUCUCAGUUCAGAUUGGAGUCUGCAACUCGACUCCAUGAAGGCGGAAUCGCUAGUAAUCGCGGAUCAGCAUGCCGCGGUGAAUACGUUCUCGGGGUUU
Molecule: ribosomal RNA, 367 nt
Filed under: uncultured Erysipelothrix sp.
Lineage: Bacteria; Bacillati; Bacillota; Erysipelotrichia; Erysipelotrichales; Erysipelotrichaceae
Description: bacterial SSU rRNA
Rfam family: Bacterial small subunit ribosomal RNA
Source: RNAcentral